This 1633-nucleotide long non-coding RNA is filed under the name Polistes canadensis. RNAcentral's name for it is "uncharacterized LOC106784032". Lineage: Eukaryota; Metazoa; Arthropoda; Insecta; Hymenoptera; Vespidae. The record is from RNAcentral.
CGAAGCUGGUUAACUCGUUCUCAUUGUCUUAGUCGGUAGUCGUUAAAAGUCGACCUAGUUACGCGAAUACUCCUUCAUAAUUCAUAACGUACGGUGAGAAAGGUUCGGUAGACUAUAACAUGUUUCGGAAGAUGAAAAAAAAAAAAAGGUAAAAAGAUAUCGAUGAUAGAACGAAACCUAUAAAAAGAAGACAAAAAAAUGUCCGAAAAACCAUUAAAUGGUGUCAUCGAGCUGAGCUAGACGCGACGUGACCGACCUGACGUUGUCCAGUACGAAAAAUUCGUAUGCUCGUUGAGUACAGAAAAAGGAAGAAGACGAAGACGAAAACGAAAACGACGACGACGACGACGACGACGACUACUCACCCGUUUGAAGAUAAGAUCGAAUCGUGUAGGUAAAAAAGAAAAACUUAAAGAAGAACUAAGUAGUCGGAUUCGAAGUCGUGAAGCAUUUUGCGAAGAACUUUGAAAGAUACGAAAAACAUAACAACCAAAAAAUAUAUAUGAAAUAACCGAUACAUUCCCAUUUGCUCCCACUCUUCCUCCUCCUCCUCCUUCUCGUCUUCAAGCACUUCUAUCUCGUAUACCACCACCACCACCACCCCUUCUCAAACUAAGGAACGAACGAACGAAACGACUGGAAUACCGGCGCGUCAACUGCUCGGAAAAGUGAAAUUCGCAUUCCAUCGGCAUGCUCGCUACCGGCCGUACGUGGCACACGUGUACGUUGGCAUCGAAGUCAAAGCCGUUACACGACACAACUCCUAUGAGUUUCCCCAUUUACGACAUCUUUUUUCAUUUUUUUUUUUAUGUAUCGUAUGACACAUAUAUGAGAAGAAAAAUAAGAACCGAAGAAGAUGAGGGAAAAAAGAAAAAAAAAAAAAAUACGUAAGAAACAUGACUCGAUCGUAUCGGAUGACUAAUCAUCCAAAUUUUCCCCGAUUGUCAAAUUUCUAAAAUAUAUAAUAAUUGGUCCAUCGACCAUAUUCGAGACAUCGUCAUCAUCAUCAUCAUCAUCAUCGUUGUCGUCGUUUUUGUUGUUGCGUGGUCGAUUCACCUAUACCAAGUAGAAGCCGACAGAAUUUCCCUGAAACUGCUGGCUUUCACUUCUUCGAAGAAUGCGAAGGUUGUACACGAACAACGUCUAGCCUGGCAGUGGGUACGGCACACGAGUCUCUUUUUCCCUUUCCCCCCUCUAUGCCCCCUUUCAUUCUCUUUCUUUCUCUCCCACUCUCUCUCUCUCUCUCUUUCUUUCUUUUUCUCUCGAUGUUUCUAACUUCGUCGCGCACACUUCAUCCUUCUAUCUUAGUUAGUUAGUCUUUCUCUUGAUCUUUCUCUUUCUACCGUGACACAUACACACAUACACACAACAAACGCAUAUACAGCGAGAGUCUCUAUCUGUCUCUUACUCGUACAGAGUCUCAUUCCCCUUCGGCUAAACCGAGAGACUUCAACAGACCAAGAGUAAGAGAGAAAGAGACUUCGAUGAGCGCAACCGCGAGAUUUCAAGCAGUGGAAGGAAACUGGUUAUGGUCGGCCGCGUAGGCAGACAUUCAUACACACACCCUGCGUAGUGGACACAGGGCUGGGCAAAAUACUCCUACAACUCGACCGUUCUGUACUCGUAAUACUUG